GAGUUUGAUCAUGGCUCAGAACGUACGCUGGCGGCACGCCUAAUACAUGCAAGUCGAACGAAGUAGCAAUACUUAGUGGCAGACGGGUGAGUAACAUGUAGGUAUCUUCCCAUUGGUGAGGAAUAACACGAGGAAACUUGUGCUAAUACCUCAUAAGUCUUUACGGAGAAAGCUUUAUGCGCCGAUGGAUGAGCCUGCACUUGAUUAGUUUGUUGGUAGGGUAAUGGCCUACCAAGACAAUGAUCAAUAGCUGAUUUGAGAGGAUGAUCAGCCACAUUGGGACUGAGACACGGCCCAAACUCCUACGGGAGGCAGCAGUAGGGAAUCUUGCACAAUGGGGGAAACCCUGAUGCAGCGAUGCCGCGUGAGUGAAGAAGGCCUUUGGGUUGUAAAGCUCUUUCGUCGGGGAAGAAAAUGACUGUACCCGAAUAAGAAGGUCCGGCUAACUUCGUGCCAGCAGCCGCGGUAAUACGAAGGGACCUAGCGUAGUUCGGAAUUACUGGGCUUAAAGAGUUCGUAGGUGGUUAAAAAAGUUGGUGGUGAAAUCCCAGAGCUUAACUCUGGAACUGCCAUCAAAACUUUUCAGCUAGAGUAUGAUAGAGGAAAGCAGAAUUUCUAGUGUAGAGGUGAAAUUCGUAGAUAUUAGAAAGAAUACCAAUUGCGAAGGCAGCUUUCUGGAUCAUUACUGACACUGAGGAACGAAAGCAUGGGUAGCGAAGAGGAUUAGAUACCCUCGUAGUCCAUGCCGUAAACGAUGUGUGUUAGACGUUGGAAAUUUAUUUUCUGUGUCGCAGCGAAAGCAAUAAACACACCGCCUGGGGAGUACGACCGCAAGGUUAAAGCUCAAAUGAAUUGACGGGGACCCGCACAAGUAGUGGAGCAUGUGGUUUAAUUCGAAGAUACGCGCAGAACCUUACCAACACUUGACAUGUUCGUCGCGACUUUAAGAGAUUAAAGUUUUCGGUUCGGCCGGACGAAACACAGGUGCUGCAUGGCUGUCGUCAGCUCGUGUCGUGAGAUGUUGGGUUAAGUCCCGCAACGAGCGCAACCCUCACUUUUAGUUGCCAUCAUUUAGUUGGGCGCUCUGAAAGAACUGCCAGUGAUAAGCUGGAGGAAGGUGGGGAUGACGUCAAGUCCUCAUGGCCCUUACGUGUUGGGCUACACACGUGCUACAAUGGCAUUUACAAUAGGAAGCAAAACGGCGACGUUAAGCAAAUCCUAAAAAAAUGCCUCAGUUCGGAUUGUACUCUGCAACUCGAGUACAUGAAGCUGGAAUUACUAGUAAUCGCGGAUCAGCGCGCCGCGGUGAAUACGU
Molecule: ribosomal RNA, 1315 nt
Filed under: unidentified marine bacterioplankton
Lineage: Bacteria
Description: bacterial SSU rRNA
Rfam family: Bacterial small subunit ribosomal RNA
Source: RNAcentral